CAGCAGCCACGGGAAUACGUAGGUGGCAAGCGUUGUCCGGAAUUAUUGGGCGUAAAGGGCUCGCAGGCGGUUUCUUAAGUCUGAUGUGAAAGCCCCCGGCUCAACCGGGGAGGGUCAUUGGAAACCGGGAAACUUGAGUGCAGAAGAGGAGAGUGGAAUUCCACGUGUAGCGGUGAAAUGCGUAGAGAUGUGGAGGAACACCAGUGGCGAAGGCGACUCUCUGGUCUGUAACUGACGCUGAGGAGCGAAAGCGUGGGGAGCGAACAGGAUUAGAUACCCGAGUAGUCCCUGUCUCUUAUAC
RNAcentral lists this ribosomal RNA (301 nucleotides) under uncultured bacterium. RNAcentral describes it as "partial 16S ribosomal RNA". It matches the Rfam family "Bacterial small subunit ribosomal RNA", at positions 509 to 807 of the family's 1533-position model. The record is from RNAcentral.